AUACCUUUCUCGGCCUUUUGGCUAAGAUCAAGUGUAGUAUCUGUUCUUAUCAGUUUAAUAUCUGAUAUGUGAGCCAUCGGCUCACUCGAUAUUAAUCUUAUUUUUUAUGAGGAAAGGCCCAUCACAAUAGCUUGCUAUUGGGGCCUUUAAGCGUUGCCUUGGCGUUGCACUACUGCCUUGGCUUGGCGCACUCCUCCAAACCUUAGUUUAAUUUGCUAUAUGGUGAGACCAGUUGAUGGUAACCUGCAUGACAGAUCAAGGGUAGUAUCUGUUUUUAUCAGUUUAAUAUCUGAUACGUGGGCCAAUGGCUCACUUGAUAUUAAAUCUUAUUUUUUAUGGAGAAAGGUACAUUACAAUAGCUUGCUAUUGUGGCCUUUAAGCGUCGCCUUGCUCUUGCACUACUGUCUUGGCUUGGCGCACCCCUC
Molecule: long non-coding RNA, 425 nt
Filed under: Helianthus annuus (common sunflower)
Lineage: Eukaryota; Viridiplantae; Streptophyta; Magnoliopsida; Asterales; Asteraceae
Description: sRNA HanXRQr2_Chr03g0119511
Rfam family: U2 spliceosomal RNA (bases 1-196)
Source: RNAcentral